Molecule: non-coding RNA, 151 nt
Submitted as: unclassified sequences
Source: Rfam
UAUCGCUCCAAUAGCAUAUUGUCACGUGAUGACAAAUAGUCGUAAGCGAAGAAUCCGAGCCUCAGCAAAAGCACCUUUUAAAGGUUGGAAAGCUGAAACAUAACAAUGCAGGUAGAGACUGGUAGGUUAUUUCUCGAACGUCUUAGACCUG